UAAAAGCCUCAUAGCUUUCACUUGGCAAGAGGUGCAGGCGUUAAGGGUCUGCCUGUGGAACGCUUCCCCACAGAAAGCCUGCUUACGUCUCCCUCCAGGCUGCACGUGUGGCAGGACUCCAGCUGCACUGUGUGCCCAUCUGGCUCUUACUGCAACUCUGCUGGCCUCACAGCACCCUCCGGACUCUGCUCAGCUGGAUACUACUGCCUGUCUGGAGCUUCCUCACCAUCUCCAGCUGGCGUGUGGGAGAAAGGAGGCCCUUGUCCUGUGAGCCAUUUCUGUCCGGAAGGGACGAGCUUUCCCCUACCCUGCCUUGCAGGGACUUACAACAACCUCACCAGACAAGCUGCAUGCUUCCCUUGUGCAGCAGGGUACUACUGCCCAGAAAAUACCUCCAGCUACAGUACGAAUCCUUGCCCAGCUGGCUUUUACUGCCCCAAAGGAACCAGAUUUGCCACUGAAUUUCCCUGUCCCCGGGGCUACUAUAACCCUGAUCCCAUGACACAGAGUUUGGAUAGCUGCUUGCCAUGUCCGCCUGGGCACUACUGUGGGAAGGAGAACUUGACAGGUGUGUCAGGCAAGUGUGAUGCAGGCUGGUUCUGUGUCUCAGCUGCUUGGACCUCACAGCCUUUUGAUCUGGAUAACUACACCAAUGCCAACUGCCUCUGUCCAGCCACUGCCACUGGAGGAAAGUGCCUAGCUGGUUUCUACUGCCCCAAAGGAAGCCCAGAGCCUCUUCCCUGCCCUCCAGGGUUUUACUGCAAUGCCUCAGGUCUGUCUGUCCCCAGUGGGCAGUGUACUGCUGGGUUUUACUGCAAAGGUGGUGCAGCUCUCCCUCAACCAACUGAUGGUGCAACUGGGAAUAUCUGCCCUGUGGGGACAUACUGCAGUGAGUAUUUGGUGCUGACCAGGAGCCAAAAUUGCUAG
This 927-nucleotide long non-coding RNA is filed under the name Struthio camelus australis. RNAcentral's name for it is "lncRNA (ENSSCUG00000012090.1)". Lineage: Eukaryota; Metazoa; Chordata; Aves; Struthioniformes; Struthionidae. The record is from RNAcentral.